GACGAACGCUGGCGGCGUGCCUAAUACAUGCAAGUAGACCUUAGUGGCGAACGGGUGAGUAACACGUGGGUAACCUGCCCAACAGAAGGGGAUAAAGCUUGGAAACAGGUGCUAAUACCGGAUACUGGAGGAUGGACCCGCGUGGCAUAAGCUAGUUGGUGAGGUAACGGCUCACCAAGGCCCCGGUGUAUAGCCGACCUGAGAGAGUGGUCGGCCACAUUGGGACUGAGACACGGCCCAAACUCCUGCGUGAGGCAGCAGUAGGGAAUCUUCGGCAAUGGACGAAAGUCUGACCGAGCAACGCCGCGGGAGUGAAGAAGGUUUUCGGAUCGUAAAACUCUGUUGUUAGAGAAGCGGUAUCUAACCAGAAAGCCACGGCUAACUACGUGCCAGCAGCCGCGGUAAUAC
RNAcentral lists this ribosomal RNA (408 nucleotides) under uncultured bacterium. RNAcentral's name for it is "partial 16S ribosomal RNA". It matches the Rfam family "Bacterial small subunit ribosomal RNA", at positions 28 to 526 of the family's 1533-position model. The record is from RNAcentral.